Molecule: transfer RNA, 71 nt
Filed under: Marmota monax (woodchuck)
Lineage: Eukaryota; Metazoa; Chordata; Mammalia; Rodentia; Sciuridae
Description: tRNA.Ala
Rfam family: tRNA (bases 6-66)
About the family: Transfer RNA (tRNA) molecules are approximately 80 nucleotides in length.
Source: RNAcentral
GGGGUUGUAGCUCAGUGGUACAGCACUUGCCUAGCAUGCAUGAAGCUCUGGGUUCAAUUCCCAGUAUCACA